This 431-nucleotide unclassified non-coding RNA is filed under the name plant metagenome. RNAcentral's name for it is "partial contains 5.8S ribosomal RNA, internal transcribed spacer 2, and large subunit ribosomal RNA". The stretch from base 1 to 102 matches the Rfam family "5.8S ribosomal RNA", at positions 50 to 154 of the family's 154-position model. The record is from RNAcentral.
AAACUGCGAUAAGUAGUGUGAAUUGCAUUUAGUGAAUCAUCGAAUCUUUGAACGCACCUUGCACUCACUGGUAUUCCGGUGAGUACGCCUGUUUCAGUAUCAUUGAAAACACACAAUCAAAACAUUUUCUUUGGUUUGAUUGGCUUUGGGUCUAUCAAAAAGUUUGGCUUGUUUCUUACAAGCCAAGCGGCCUGAAAUAUAUUGUCUGGCUAAUUGCAUCGUUGAUGAUCGCUAUUAGACUUUGGCUUUUUUAAAUGAACUGGAGGUUGAUUAACCAGUUUUAGCUUUAGUCAAAUGGUCAUUGUAAAAAAAAUCUCGAUCUUGGCUAGGUGUUUAUAGCCGAAAAUUUUUUUUUGGCUAUAACCGAAACCAAUAUAAUCACAUUUAGUUAUCGAUCUGAAAUCAGGUGGGACUACCCACUGAACUUAAGC